GGGAUGAGCCCGCGGCCUAUCAGCUUGUUGGUGAGGUAAUGGCUCACCAAGGCGACGACGGGUAGCCGGCCUGAGAGGGCGACCGGCCACACUGGGACUGAGACACGGCCCAGACUCCUACGGGAGGCAGCAGUGGGGAAUAUUGCACAAUGGGCGAAAGCCUGAUGCAGCGACGCCGCGUGAGGGAUGACGGCCUUCGGGUUGUAAACCUCUUCAGCAGGGAAGAAGCGAAAGUGACGGUACUGCAGAGAGGGGCGGUCC
This 261-nucleotide ribosomal RNA is filed under the name Streptomyces sp. fvkcu 01. RNAcentral's name for it is "partial 16S ribosomal RNA". It matches the Rfam family "Bacterial small subunit ribosomal RNA", at positions 222 to 498 of the family's 1533-position model. The record is from RNAcentral. Lineage: Bacteria; Bacillati; Actinomycetota; Actinomycetes; Kitasatosporales; Streptomycetaceae.